This 65-nucleotide transfer RNA is filed under the name Curculionoidea sp. 5 KM-2017. RNAcentral's name for it is "tRNA-Arg". The record is from RNAcentral. RNAcentral also lists the same sequence under 1 other name. Lineage: Eukaryota; Metazoa; Arthropoda; Insecta; Coleoptera.
UAAUAAGAAGCAAAAUUCUGCAUCUAAUUUCGACUUAGAAAUAUGUCCAUAAAGGUCCUUAUUUU